GUGAGCGUAGCUUAAUUGGCAAAGCCCCGGGAUGUGACCCCGUGAGAUGCCGGUUCAAAUCCGGUCGCCCACCCCA
RNAcentral lists this transfer RNA (76 nucleotides) under Gammaproteobacteria bacterium. RNAcentral's name for it is "tRNA-His". It matches the Rfam family "tRNA". From Rfam's summary of the family: Transfer RNA (tRNA) molecules are approximately 80 nucleotides in length. Lineage: Bacteria; Pseudomonadati; Pseudomonadota; Gammaproteobacteria. The record is from RNAcentral.